Molecule: small nuclear RNA, 192 nt
Filed under: Xenopus tropicalis (tropical clawed frog)
Lineage: Eukaryota; Metazoa; Chordata; Amphibia; Anura; Pipidae
Description: U2 spliceosomal RNA (ENSXETG00000046636.1)
Rfam family: U2 spliceosomal RNA
About the family: U2 is a small nuclear RNA (snRNA) component of the spliceosome (involved in pre-mRNA splicing). Complementary binding between U2 snRNA (in an area lying towards the 5' end but 3' to hairpin I) and the branchpoint sequence (BPS) of the intron results the bulging out of an unpaired adenosine, on the BPS, which initiates a nucleophilic attack at the intronic 5' splice site, thus starting the first of two transesterification reactions that mediate splicing.
Source: Rfam by way of RNAcentral
AUCGCUUCUCGGCCUUUUGGCUAAGAUCAAGUGUAGUAUCUGUUCUUAUCAGUUUAAUAUCUGAUACGUCCCCUAUCUGGGGACCAUAUAUUAAAUGGAUUUUUGGAACAGGGAGAUGGAAGAAGAGCUUGCUCUGUCCACUCCCACGCAUCGACCUGGUAAUUGCAGUACUCCAGGACCGGUGCACCUCUC